GUGAGAGCAGGUGAACAGGAGGUGACUGCAGGACUAACGAGAGACAGGUGAAACCAAUCAGGGCGGAUCAGACAAUCAAAACUGGCGGGAAAACACACAAAGGCAGGAAGUGAAGUGAUUUGAGAGGAGAGGAGAGAGACAAUCUCUACCGGUAAAGUAAAGGUGCUGCAUGAUGAUUAUGACAAUUAUCACAAAGACUGCAUACCAAUGAGCAGCUGCAGACAGCAGGCAGGCCAGAAGCCGCUGUCAGCCGUCAUUUCAGCGUCUGAAUCACGUAAACCACCAACCUCUACACAAUUCACAACCCGAUCCCAUGGAAGAUGAACUAACUAGCAUCCGAGAGGCAUAUUUUAUACAACGGCAUGAGCUGGGGAUGAUGGAGAGCUGUUAUUGGUUUCUGACAGUGUGUGCGUGUGUGUGUGUGUGUGUGUGUGUAGCGCUGGGUGCCGCCAUCUUCCCAGGUAUACCGGGAUCAGCCAUCUUGUCAGGCGUUUUUGAAAACAGCUUUUGUAAAACUCCGACCAGGGUGAAGAUUUUCCACUUUUGAAACUGCUGUUUUGAAACAGUCAAAAAAAGCUGUCCGUGUCUUUAAUUAUAUUCAUGUAAUAAUGUAACAAAUGUCAAUCUGCAUGA
This is a long non-coding RNA of Sebastes umbrosus (honeycomb rockfish), 633 nucleotides long. RefSeq lists it as uncharacterized. The record is from RefSeq and is a predicted model, not a curated record. The transcript has 5 exons. Lineage: Eukaryota; Metazoa; Chordata; Actinopteri; Perciformes; Sebastidae.